AAGGUUGACCUCGGAUCAGGUAGGAAGACCCGCUGAACUUAAGCAUAUCAAUAAGCGGAGGAAAAGAAACCAACAGGGAUUGCCCUAGUAACGGCGAGUGAAGCGGCAACAGCUCAAAUUUGAAAUCUGGCUUCGGCCCGAGUUGUAAUUUGCAGAGGAAGCUUUAGGCGCGGCACCUUCUGAGUCCCCUGGAACGGGGCGCCAUAGAGGGUGAGAGCCCCGUAUAGUUGGAUGCCUAGCCUGUGUAAAGCUCCUUCGACGAGUCGAGUAGUUUGGGAAUGCUGCUCAAAAUGGGAGGUAAAUUUCUUCUAAAGCUAAAUACCGGCCAGAGACCGAUAGCGCACAAGUAGAGUGAUCGAAAGAUGAAAAGCACUUUGAAAAGAGGGUUAAAUAGCACGUGAAAUUGUUGAAAGGGAAGCGCUUGUGACCAGACUUGCGCCGGGCUGAUCAUCCGGUGUUCUCACCGGUGCACUCUGCCCGGCUCAGGCCAGCAUCGGUUCUCGCGGGGGGAUAAAGGUUCCGGGAACGUAGCUCCUCCGGGAGUGUUAUAGCCCGGGGCGUAAUGCCCUCGCGGGGACCGAGGUUCGCGCAUCUGCAAGGAUGCUGGCGUAAUGGUCAUCAGCGACCCGUCUUGAAACACGGACCAAGGAGUCAAGGUUUUGCGCGAGUGUUUGGGUGUAAAACCCGCACGCGUAAUGAAAGUGAACGUAGGUGAGAGCUUCGGCGCAUCAUCGACCGAUCCUGAUGUUUUCGGAUGGAUUUGAGUAGGAGCGUUAAGCCUUGGACCCGAAAGAUGGUGAACUAUGCUUGGAUAGGGUGAAGCCAGAGGAAACUCUGGUGGAGGCUCGCAGCGGUUCUGACGUGCAAAUCGAUCGUCAAAUCUGAGCAUGGGGGCGAAAGACUAAUCGAACCAUCUAGUAGCUGGUUACCGCCGAAG
This 937-nucleotide ribosomal RNA is filed under the name Botryoderma rostratum. RNAcentral's name for it is "eukaryotic LSU rRNA". It matches the Rfam family "Eukaryotic large subunit ribosomal RNA", at positions 1 to 966 of the family's 3401-position model. The record is from RNAcentral. Lineage: Eukaryota; Fungi; Ascomycota.